UACGUAGGUCCCGAGCGUUGUCCGGAUUUAUUGGGCGUAAAGCGAGCGCAGGUGGUUUGUUAAGUCUGGUGUAAAAGGCAGUGGCUCAACCAUUGUAUGCAUUGGAAACUGGUAGACUUGAGUGCAGGAGAGGAGAGUGGAAUUCCAUGUGUAGCGGUGAAAUGCGUAGAUAUAUGGAGGAACACCGGUGGCGAAAGCGGCUCUCUGGCCUGUAACUGACACUGAAGCUCGAAAGCGUGGGGAGCAAACAGG
This 252-nucleotide ribosomal RNA is filed under the name uncultured bacterium. RNAcentral's name for it is "partial 16S ribosomal RNA". It matches the Rfam family "Bacterial small subunit ribosomal RNA", at positions 524 to 776 of the family's 1533-position model. The record is from RNAcentral.